GAUUUUUUCCCUUUUGGAAGUUUCCUUAUUGUUUCAAUUCGGUCUCCUUCCCUUUUUAAUGAACGAGUAAAUAAUGUUUUCAAGUAGUAGAAAUUUUUGUCAAACGCUGUUGGAAGGAAAAAAUGAAUGGAUUAUGAGAAAUGAUAAUUUGUGGAUUUUACAUUGGUGAGUGGUUGUUGUCUAAUGUAGCACAACCGGUCUUUCGCUUGUAUGUAGGAUGGUAGGAAAGAAUUUUGGAUGUUAUCAUAGCUGUAGAGAGAAGGUGCACUUCUUCGCUAAUUGCCCAAAGAAACGACAAUGCUCAUGGUGUAAAAUUGGAUAUGUGAAGUGCUUUGAGGUUGAGAGGGAAAUGAAGAAUAAGAGAAAAUUGUUCAAUUGCUGAACUGCUGACUGUAAAUACUGGGAAUGGGUUGACGUGGGAGAAUCGAGUAGCGGAUUGAGUACUAUUGUUGUUGACUCGAAUAAUCAGGUGGCACUUGAAGAAGUCCAGCAGUUCUCUAUGAUGUUCCAGUCCCUUUGUUGGGUAACCGAAGAACAAAAUAUUGAAAUUUCUUUGAACGUGACAAUAAGGAAGGCCAAUGGAAGUGCGGGAGUGGAUAAGAAAGGGAAGGGCCGGCAAGAACACGAUCUUUUUCUUAGGAUGCAUCGCUACCACCUUUGAUGUGCAAUAUGUGUUGUGUUAUGUGGAGUUGAUGUGUAAUAUGUGUUAUGUUGUGUGAACAAAUCAUUGUAAUGUACUCGCAUUUCAUGUUUCAACAGUUAUGUGAAUGAUGUUGGUGUGAAUUUUAGUGGAUUGUAGUUUGUUUUCUUCAUUAUGUUACUGGAAUUGAAUAUGAAAUUUCAAUUAUGUACCAGCAA
This 858-nucleotide long non-coding RNA is filed under the name Olea europaea subsp. europaea. Lineage: Eukaryota; Viridiplantae; Streptophyta; Magnoliopsida; Lamiales; Oleaceae. The record is from RNAcentral.